GAUGAGCGCUGGCGGCGUGCCUAAUACAUGCAAGUCGAGCGAACAGACGAGGAGCUUGCUCCUCUGACGUUAGCGGCGGACGGGUGAGUAGCACGUGGAUAACCUACCUAUAAGACCGGGAUAACUUCGGGAAACCGGAGCUAAUACCGGAUAAUAUAUUGAACCGCAUGGUUCAAUAGUGAAAGACGGUUUUGCUGUCACUUAUAGAUGGAUCCGCGCCGCAUUAGCUAGUUGGUAAGGUAACGGCUUACCAAGGCAACGAUGCGUAGCCGACCUGAGAGGGUGAUCGGCCACACUGGAACUGAGACACGGUCCAGACUCCUACGGGAGGCAGCAGUAGGGAAUCUUCCGCAACGGGCGAGAGCCUGACGGAGCAACGGCGCGUGAGUGAUGAAGGUCUUCGGAUCGUAAAACUCUGUUAUUAGGGAAGAACAAAUGUGUAAGUAACUAUGCACGUCUUGACGGUACCUAAUCAGAAAGCCACGGCUAACUACGU
This 496-nucleotide ribosomal RNA is filed under the name uncultured bacterium. RNAcentral describes it as "partial 16S ribosomal RNA". It matches the Rfam family "Bacterial small subunit ribosomal RNA", at positions 28 to 506 of the family's 1533-position model. The record is from RNAcentral.